AAAUUGAAGAGUUUGAUCAUGGCUCAGAUUGAACGCUGGCGGCAGGCCUAACACAUGCAAGUCGAGCGGUAGCACAGAGAGCUUGCUCUCGGGUGACGAGCGGCGGACGGGUGAGUAAUGUCUGGGAAACUGCCUGAUGGAGGGGGAUAACUACUGGAAACGGUAGCUAAUACCGCAUAAUGUCGCAAGACCAAAGUGGGGGACCUUCGGGCCUCAUGCCAUCAGAUGUGCCCAGAUGGGAUUAGCUAGUAGGUGGGGUAACGGCUCACCUAGGCGACGAUCCCUAGCUGGUCUUAGAGGAUGACCAGCCACACUGGAACUGAGACACGGUCCAGACUCCUACGGGAGGCAGCAGUGGGGAAUAUUGCACAAUGGGCGCAAGCCUGAUGCAGCCAUGCCGCGUGUGUGAAGAAGGCCUUCGGGUUGUAAAGCACUUUCAGCGGGGAGGAAGGCGUUAAGGUUAAUAACCUUG
RNAcentral lists this ribosomal RNA (472 nucleotides) under Klebsiella pneumoniae. Its description in RNAcentral is "bacterial SSU rRNA". It matches the Rfam family "Bacterial small subunit ribosomal RNA", at positions 1 to 471 of the family's 1533-position model. Lineage: Bacteria; Pseudomonadati; Pseudomonadota; Gammaproteobacteria; Enterobacterales; Enterobacteriaceae. The record is from RNAcentral.